RNAcentral lists this ribosomal RNA (164 nucleotides) under uncultured bacterium. RNAcentral describes it as "partial 16S rRNA". It matches the Rfam family "Bacterial small subunit ribosomal RNA", at positions 355 to 511 of the family's 1533-position model. The record is from RNAcentral.
UAGGGAAUCUUCCGCAAUGGACGCAAGUCUGAUGGAGCAACGCCGCGUGAGUGAAGAAGGUUUUCGGAUCGUAAAACUCUGUUGUUAGAGAAGAACACGAGUGAGAGUAACUGUUCAUUCGAUGACGGUAUCUAACCAGCAAGUCACGGCUAACUACGUGCCAG